Molecule: long non-coding RNA, 1650 nt
Filed under: Bemisia tabaci
Lineage: Eukaryota; Metazoa; Arthropoda; Insecta; Hemiptera; Aleyrodidae
Description: lncRNA ENSSSA3NGG004190
Source: RNAcentral
AAAGGCGGGGCCCGGGAGCUCCGAGGAGCAGCAGCUUAUGAAAUUGAGACGGGGUAUGAUUCAGUUAAUUAGGGCGCUCCACUUUGUUUUCCUUCGCCCCCGCUCAGCUACGAUCAGCACCUGAUUGUUCCCGCGCCUGAUCGAGUCCGGUAAUCGCCUUUUUUCGCUUGAAGUCUUUAUCAUUUCCAGCUUUUUUGUUUUUCGGUGAUUAGUGUUCUCCCCGUUGUUUGAAAUCAUUUUUUCUUUGUUUUAAAAUAAGUUAAACUUAGCGCCGGUAUCGGACUUUUUCAUCAUUCCGCAUUGACUUUUUUCCGGAUUUUUUCCCAUUUUUCCUUUCCCGCCUAUGAAUAGUUUAAACCUGUGAAAAAUACCGAGCGACGCGAUUCCGAGUUCGAUAUUGUCGAUCGCCUUUCCUUUUUCUUCGUCUCGAAGUUCAAACGUUUUCAAGAUCGGUGCGUGCUAAAAUCUGUUCUGCAGCUUCUUUUGAAAUUGUGUUGGUUCCAGUGUAUCCUCCAAUUUUUCAAGUUUAAUUUUCUCCUUGAUUGGUGUAUACUUCAACUUCGUCGAAUUUUGAUAUCUUCUUUCCCUCAGUCGAUUUUAGCGUACAUGACGUCAAAACUGGUGUGUAUGUUAAUCUUUCGCCGUUUCGUGUUAUAUUGAUUUGACUUUGACUCUCUUGAAUGUUUCCUUUUUCCCGGUGUUUCUUUUGUGAUUAUGAUUAAUUUUUUCGAAUUAUAAUCGUCGAAAAACCUCGCGUUUGUGCCUACUCUACAUUCCGCCAGCGAUGAAUCAAGUUAUGAGUUACAACAGUUACAACCCAAUCAUCAACCCGAUGAGUAAUACGUACAGUCCACCUGUCACCCCUACCCGCCCUUGUGACCUCUCGUACUUCCCAACUGGACCCAGAUCUGAUUACGGCAUAUCCUUCGACGGUCAGGCGCAAUACGGCGAAGCUCUGUCAAAGUGGGCGCCAGACCCGAUGAGCCCGAACGAGAAACGACUCAAGAACUACCCGACCCCGGUGACGUCAGAGGACAAGCCGAUGUGCGGGUCCCUGUACGGGAGCCCUCGCCCGUCUUCGGGGAGGCCAAGUUCGGCGGACCCUCCAGCUCCGAGAUGGACGAAUCCGAGGGCUACGACGAGGCCAAGUUCACCGACUCCACCAAUAGCAACCUCGAGUUCGCCGACUCCCCCGAGUUCGACAGGAGUCGCCCCGACGAGACCUACGACGAGAAGUACGCCGUCAGGAUCAACAACAACAACAAUCUCGAGUACGACAAGCGGGCCUUUCAAUCCGACAGGUGAGUGUCCUCGAUACUUUCAAAAGCACAUCUGAGCACACCCCAUCCAUCCACUUCCACAUAGUUCUUUUUGGCAUAAAUGCGCCCUUUGGAGAUGUUGCAUGUGUGAGGAAUUUGCUAUUUGACAAUUGAUUCUUAUGUAAAAGUUCGCGAGAAACACGAUGGUGCCACUGGUUUUCUCUGAAAUCAACUCCCAAGCUCAAAAAAGCUCUCAAGUUGAGGCCAAAAUGGAGGGGAUAUCCCACGCUAUCCUGAGAGUCCACGUCUACAUCAAGACAAACUCUCCACGCAAAGAUAGGGAGCAAAUACAUUGACAGGGUUGCCGUGUUUUCAGUUUUAGAGUCCCCAA